This is a long non-coding RNA of Dicentrarchus labrax (European seabass), 520 nucleotides long. RefSeq lists it as uncharacterized. Lineage: Eukaryota; Metazoa; Chordata; Actinopteri; Moronidae. The transcript is spliced from 3 exons. The record is from RefSeq and is a predicted model, not a curated record.
AAGUUGUGUUUUCUCUUAUUCUGAACUAUGUGCGUUUAAGGUAUUUGAUUUUCUCUCAUUGUGUGAGCAUUGUAUGCUCAAAGGAGGAAGUUGUACUGGAAAAAUACAACUAAGACUAUGCAUGAAGUGGGAAGUUGUUUUAAAAACGUUAAAGGUGCUAAUCAGCUGAAAGCACAGUCUAAUUUGUUUCCUGUUUGUUUCCUUAGUAUUUGACACUGUUUGUCAUUUUAACACCAAGAACUUGGGUCACAGGAGAGAAAGUUGCGCUUUGGUCAAAGCAGCAGCAAACAGAGUGUAUGAUCUAUUUGUGACGGGUGACAGCCUCUUCCUUUACAGCCUGUGUAUAUUGUCUUUUCUGGACAUUAUAUAAGGAACUCAGUGUCAGCAGGUUGCAGCUUCAGAGAAUUUCCUUCACUGAAGACAUUUUAACCAACUGGUGCCGACAAUCUCCUGCCUGGACCACAGCCGGUGAAUCAACCAACCAACAAACCAACAAACCACUCAUCAGUGAACCAUGAAG